GGCUCUCAAAUUAGCCUGGCGCAUUUCCUCUUGUCCCCUAGCCAAAGCUUGUAGGGCUUCAGCAAGCUGACCCAUCUGAGCCUUCAUAGUGGUCAUAUCUUCCCUCAUAACAACUUGGUUCUGCUCCAACUGAUCCAUGAGCGAUCUUUGGUUUCUUCGAGUGUUGUGGGAAUGUCGGGAAGUACGCUUGACUGUGGAUGAUUCUGGACAAAAGGGCUAAAUGGUAAGUUUUAUGACUUUU
RNAcentral lists this long non-coding RNA (241 nucleotides) under Lathyrus oleraceus (garden pea). RNAcentral describes it as "Pisum sativum (pea) long non-coding RNA (PSAT_LNC037749)". Lineage: Eukaryota; Viridiplantae; Streptophyta; Magnoliopsida; Fabales; Fabaceae. The record is from RNAcentral.